RNAcentral lists this ribosomal RNA (497 nucleotides) under uncultured bacterium. RNAcentral's name for it is "partial 16S ribosomal RNA". It matches the Rfam family "Bacterial small subunit ribosomal RNA", at positions 28 to 507 of the family's 1533-position model. The record is from RNAcentral.
GAUGAACGCUGGCGGCGUGCCUAAUACAUGCAAGUCGAGCGAACAGACGAGGAGCUUGCUCCUCUGACGUUAGCGGCGGACGGGUGAGUAACACGUGGAUAACCUACCUAUAAGACUGGGAUAACUUCGGGAAACCGGAGCUAAUACCGGAUAAUAUAUUGAACCGCAUGGUUCAAUAGUGAAAGACGGUUUUGCUGUCACUUAUAGAUGGAUCCGCGCCGCAUUAGCUAGUUGGUAAGGUAACGGCUUACCAAGGCAACGAUGCGUAGCCGACCUGAGAGGGUGAUCGGCCACACUGGAACUGAGACACGGUCCAGACUCCUACGGGAGGCAGCAGUAGGGAAUCUUCCGCAAAGGGCGAAAGCUUGACGGAGCAACGCCGCGUGAGUGAUGAAGGUCUUCGGAUCGUAAAACUCUGUUAUUAGGGAAGAACAAAUGUGUAAGUAACUAUGCACGUCUUGACGGUACCUAAUCAGAAAGCCACGGCUAACCACGUG